AUUCCAAGGAACACUGUCAUCCCAGCUAAGAAGUCUCAAGUUUUCUCUACGUAUCAGGAUCAGCAGACUACUGUUUCCAUUAAGGUAUGUAUAAAUUUUAUGUCGUCUGAAACUCAGCUCAUAAAACCUAAUAACUCUUAACUCUUAGUUAGAGCUACACAAUUGUGUAUUUAUUCUGAUUUUCUCAUUUGUGAUUUGAUGUUGAAAAAUUG
This 212-nucleotide unclassified non-coding RNA is filed under the name Hevea brasiliensis (rubber tree). Lineage: Eukaryota; Viridiplantae; Streptophyta; Magnoliopsida; Malpighiales; Euphorbiaceae. The record is from RNAcentral.